ACUGGUAAGAUGUCAGGAGAAAAUAGAUUUACCCCUCCAUCGACACUACCAAACUUGAUAAAUAGGUGAUGGCGAUCCAAAAACUGUACCUUCCAUAUGAUAAGAUCCACAUAGUCUUGAAAGU
Molecule: long non-coding RNA, 124 nt
Organism: Hordeum vulgare subsp. vulgare (domesticated barley)
Lineage: Eukaryota; Viridiplantae; Streptophyta; Magnoliopsida; Poales; Poaceae
Exons: 2
Source: RefSeq, a predicted model, not a curated record